UGGGGAAUAUUGCACAAUGGGCGCAAGCCUGAUGCAGCCAUGCCGCGUGUAUGAAGAAGGCCUUCGGGUUGUAAAGUACUUUCAGCGGGGAGGAAGGGAGUAAAGUUAAUACCUUUGCUCAUUGACGUUACCCGCAGAAGAAGCACCGGCUAACUCCGUGCCAGCAGCCGCGGUAAUACGGAGGGUGCAAGCGUUAAUCGGAAUUACUGGGCGUAAAGCGCACGCAGACGGUUUGUUAAGUCAGAUGUGAAAUCCCCGGGCUCAACCUGGGAACAGCAUCUGAUACUGGCAAGCUAGAGUAUCGUAGAGGGACGUAGAAUUCCAGGUGGAGCGGUGAAAUGCGUGAAGAUCUGGAGGAAUCCCGGUGGCGAAGGCGGCUCCCUGGACGAAGACUGACGCUAAGGUGCGAAAGCGUGGGGAGCAAACAGG
RNAcentral lists this ribosomal RNA (429 nucleotides) under Chloroflexota bacterium. RNAcentral describes it as "Chloroflexi bacterium partial 16S ribosomal RNA". It matches the Rfam family "Bacterial small subunit ribosomal RNA", at positions 355 to 776 of the family's 1533-position model. Lineage: Bacteria; Bacillati; Chloroflexota. The record is from RNAcentral.